This 279-nucleotide ribosomal RNA is filed under the name uncultured bacterium. RNAcentral's name for it is "partial 16S ribosomal RNA". It matches the Rfam family "Bacterial small subunit ribosomal RNA", at positions 506 to 784 of the family's 1533-position model. The record is from RNAcentral.
UGCCAGCCGCCGCGGUAAUACGAAGGGGGCUAGCGUUGUUCGGAAUAACUGGGCGUAAAGCGCACGUAGGCGGAUUGUUUAGUUAGGGGUGAAAUCCCGGGGCUCAACCCCGGAACUGCCUUUAAUACUGGCAAUCUAGAGUUCGAGAGAGGUGAGUGGAAUUCCGAGUGUAGAGGUGAAAUUCGUAGAUAUUCGGAGGAACACCAGUGGCGAAGGCGGCUCACUGGCUCGAUACUGACGCUGAGGUGCGAAAGUGUGGGGAGCAAACAGGAUUAGAUA